UACGGGGGGAGCAAGCGUUGUUCGGAUUUACUGGGCGUAAAGGGCGCGUAGGCGGCGUGACAAGUCACUUGUGAAAUCUCCGGGCUUAACUCGGAACGGUCAAGUGAUACUGUCGUGCUAGAGUACAGAAGGGGCAACUGGAAUUCUCGGUGUAGCGGUGAAAUGCGUAGAUAUCGAGAGGAACACCUGCGGCGAAGGCAGGUUGCUGGGCUGAUACUGACGCUGAGGCGCGAAAGCUAGGGGAGCGAACGGG
This 253-nucleotide ribosomal RNA is filed under the name uncultured bacterium. RNAcentral's name for it is "partial 16S ribosomal RNA". It matches the Rfam family "Bacterial small subunit ribosomal RNA", at positions 524 to 776 of the family's 1533-position model. The record is from RNAcentral.